AAUUCGAUGCAACGCGAAGAACUUACCUGGUCUCGACAUCCCGGAGACCCUUAGGAAACUAGGGGGUGCUUCCAUCUGGAAGAAUCUGGAGACAGGUGCUGCAUGGCUGUCGUCAGCUCGUGUCGUGAGAUGUGGGUUAAGUCCCGCAACGAGCGCAACCCUUGCCUUUAGUUGCCAGCAGUUCGGCUGGGCACUCUAAAGGGACUGCCGGUGUUAAACCGGAGGAAGGUGGGGAUGACGUCAAGUCCUCAUGGCCUUUAUGACCAGGGCUACACACGUACUACAAUGGCCGAUACAAAGGGCAGCGACACUGCGAGGUGAAGCCAAUCCCGUAAAAUCGGUCUCAGUCCGGAUUGGAGUCUGCAACUCGACUCCAUGAAGUUGGAAUCGCUAGUAAUCGUGGAUCAGCAUGCCACGGUGAAUACGUUCCCGGGCCUU
Molecule: ribosomal RNA, 438 nt
Filed under: uncultured Desulfobulbus sp.
Lineage: Bacteria; Pseudomonadati; Thermodesulfobacteriota; Desulfobulbia; Desulfobulbales; Desulfobulbaceae
Description: bacterial SSU rRNA
Rfam family: Bacterial small subunit ribosomal RNA
Source: RNAcentral